GGUUUUUGGACUUUUGAGGGGUUCUGUAUCAUCUUCCGUUCCAAUCCACCUCUCUUAGACACCGUCUCUAACUUGUCUAGUAACUAGAAGUAAUGGAGCACGGUUCUCUACAGGAUCCAAGCAGAGCAACCUUCUCGUUCGUUGAUGAAGAUCACACUCUUGCAAAUGCUGUCAGAUUCACCUUGAAUCAAGAUCCGAGGGUAUCAUUUUGUGGAUACAGUAUUCCUCAUCCCUCAGAUGCUCGAGUUAAUAUUAGAGUCCAAACAACAGGUGAUCCAGCAAGGGAGGUAUUGAAAGAUGGAUGUCAGAAUUUGAUGUUGAUGUGCCAUCAUGUUAGGAGCACUUUUGACAAGGCUGUUGGUGAUUAUAGAACAAACACCACAGAAAUGGAAAAUGAUUGAAAUUUGAUAUAUCUUACCCUUAUAAUCUUGGUAUGUAAGUUCAUUUGUAGGUGUAAUUGGACAGUUGCAAUGUAUUUGACUCCUUUCAAUCACGGUG
This 498-nucleotide unclassified non-coding RNA is filed under the name Hevea brasiliensis (rubber tree). The record is from RNAcentral. Lineage: Eukaryota; Viridiplantae; Streptophyta; Magnoliopsida; Malpighiales; Euphorbiaceae.